GCAGAUAGCUCAGUUGGUAGAACACGAGACUCUUAAUCUCAGGGUUGGGGGUUUGAGCCCAACAUUGGGCA
Podarcis lilfordi (Lilford's wall lizard) is the source of this 71-nucleotide non-coding RNA. Lineage: Eukaryota; Metazoa; Chordata; Lepidosauria; Squamata; Lacertidae. The record is from the annotation of a GenBank genome assembly.